This 253-nucleotide ribosomal RNA is filed under the name uncultured bacterium. RNAcentral describes it as "partial 16S ribosomal RNA". It matches the Rfam family "Bacterial small subunit ribosomal RNA", at positions 524 to 776 of the family's 1533-position model. The record is from RNAcentral.
UACGGAGGGUGCUAGCGUUGUUCGGAAUCACUGGGCGUAAAGGGCGUGUAGGCGGUCUGUUAAGUCUGAUGUGAAAUCCCCACGCUCAACGAGGGAACUGCGUCGGAUACUGGCAGACUCGAGUACCGGAGAGGAAGGUGGAAUUCCCGGUGUAGCGGUGAAAUGCGUAGAUAUCGUAAGGAAGACCAGUGGCGAAGGCGGGUCUCUGGACAGUUCCUGACGCUGAGGCACGAAGGCCAGGGGAGCAAACGGG